Molecule: transfer RNA, 73 nt
Filed under: Ophiophagus hannah (king cobra)
Lineage: Eukaryota; Metazoa; Chordata; Lepidosauria; Squamata; Elapidae
Also listed under: 1 other name
Rfam family: tRNA
About the family: Transfer RNA (tRNA) molecules are approximately 80 nucleotides in length.
Source: Rfam by way of RNAcentral
GCUGUAAUAGCAUAGUAGUUAAGGCAUCUAUCUUGUAAAUAUAAGGUUACUGGUUCAAAAUCCAGCAACAGCA